Molecule: transfer RNA, 73 nt
Filed under: Camelus bactrianus (Bactrian camel)
Lineage: Eukaryota; Metazoa; Chordata; Mammalia; Artiodactyla; Camelidae
Also listed under: 2 other names
Rfam family: tRNA
About the family: Transfer RNA (tRNA) molecules are approximately 80 nucleotides in length. Their secondary structure includes four short double-helical elements and three loops (D, anti-codon, and T loops).
Source: Rfam by way of RNAcentral
GAGGGUGUAGCUCCAGUGGUAGAGCACAUGCUUAGCAGGCAUGAGGUCCUGGGUUGAAUCCCUAGUACCUUCU